AGUGAACGCUGGCGGUAGGCCUAACACAUGCAAGUCGAACGGCAGCACAGUAAGAGCUUGCUCUUACGGGUGGCGAGUGGCGGACGGGUGAGGAAUACAUCGGCAUCUACUUUUUCGUGGGGGAUAACGUAGGGAAACUUACGCUAAUACCGCAUACGACCUACGGGUGAAAGCAGGGGAUCUUCGGACCUUGCGCGAUUGAAUGAGCCGAUGUCGGAUUAGCUAGUUGGCGGGGUAAAGGCCCACCAAGGCGACGAUCCGUAGCGGGUCUGAGAGGAUGAUCAGCCACACUGGAACUGAGACACGGUCCAGACUCCUACGGGAGGCAGCAGUGGGGAAUAUUGGACAAUGGGCGCAAGCCUGAUCCAGCAAUACCGCGUGGGUGAAGAAGGCCUUCGGGUUGUAAAGCCCUUUUGUUGGGAAAGAAAAGCAGCAGGUUAAUACCCCGCUGUCCUGACGGUACCCAAAGAAUAAGCACCGGCUAACUUCGUG
Molecule: ribosomal RNA, 492 nt
Filed under: uncultured bacterium
Lineage: Bacteria
Description: partial 16S ribosomal RNA
Rfam family: Bacterial small subunit ribosomal RNA
Source: RNAcentral